This 74-nucleotide transfer RNA is filed under the name Phycisphaerae bacterium. Its description in RNAcentral is "tRNA-Arg". It matches the Rfam family "tRNA". Rfam says of the family: Transfer RNA (tRNA) molecules are approximately 80 nucleotides in length. Their secondary structure includes four short double-helical elements and three loops (D, anti-codon, and T loops). Lineage: Bacteria; Pseudomonadati; Planctomycetota; Phycisphaerae. RNAcentral also lists the same sequence under 1 other name. The record is from RNAcentral.
GCGUCUGUAGCUCAGUUGGAUAGAGCAUCGGAUUUCGAAUCCGACGGUCGCAGGUUCGAGUCCUGCCAGGCGCA